This 3505-nucleotide long non-coding RNA is filed under the name Canis lupus familiaris (dog). RNAcentral's name for it is "lncRNA (ENSCAFG00000054337.1)". Lineage: Eukaryota; Metazoa; Chordata; Mammalia; Carnivora; Canidae. The record is from RNAcentral.
UUGUCUUACAUUUUCACAGAAUAGAAUAUUUAAGGGUUAGAUUAGAAAAUUUCCAUGACAGAUUUUGUCAUUGGUACAACAGAUGAGAAGGGUAAAUUGUGUCAGUGUGUAGCAUUUUUACAAUUACAAAAUCUAGUCACUGGAGUUUCAUUAUCUUUUUGUAACUUUUCAUUGCGUGAUAAAUAUUAGCACUGCUUUUCUAUCUUAAUACCAUUCUUUUAUGUUACCCCAACUGAUUUUAUUUUUUUUUUUUGCACUUUUUUUUUAUUUUUUUUUAUUUAUUUAUGAUAGUCACAGAGAGAGAGAGAGAGAGAGAGGCAGAGACACAGGCAGAGGGAGAAGCAGGCUCCAUGCACUGGGAGCCUGAUGUGGGAUUCGAUCCCGGGUCUCCAGGAUCGCGCCCUGGGCCAAAGGCAGGCGCCAAACCACUGCGCCACCCAGGGAUCCCUGAUUUUAUUUUCUGAUUAAUUGAUUUUUCUAAACCAUAAUCUUAGUUAUAACCUGAGAACUACACAAAACACUGGUACUUCAAGAGUAUAACAUUGGGGCAAUUGUUAUGAAUAUUUAUGUAUCUAACAUGACUCAAUUGUUUUUUGAUCUAUCCAAUGGCUUUCCAUUUUUUUUGUAUGCAUUGUUUGUUUUAAGCAAAUUCCCUCCUACUUUUCCACUUUCUCUUGUUUUACUUAUUCUGUUGGUUUUACUGCUUAUAUGGCUUAACACACAUUUUUAUUUCCUAUUUUUCUCUCCCAGAGCCCACUUGCACGGUAAACCAAGAUCUUCUCCACCAUUUCAAUGACCGUGAUCUAAACUACAUUAUCUAUACCAUUAACUUUGAACUUCCAUAGUAUCUAUUCAAAUCUUUUUGAUGGGCAUUAUUUCAUUGAUAGCUGCAUUCUGGGGGCAUAACAGAACUGAUGGUGAAUAAUCCCUUGGUCUGUCAACCACAAACAUUUGUUGAGAAUCAAACCCAAAGAUCUUUGACUUGGUGUUUAUGACCCAAGGUAAACUCAAGCAUAGUUAGCAGUGGAUCUUUAAACUUCUAGUACUUAAAACAAACUGUGUGUGUGAGUGUGUGUGUGUGUGUGUGUGUGUGUCUGUGUAAGACAGGAUGUCUGUCCUUUAAUCUUAUUUUCAAGUUUCAGGACCCCAAAAUGGUUAAGAACCACUAAGGAUGCAUGUGUCAUGUACAAGAAUAUUUUUCUAUGCAAAAAUGUUGUAUUUAUCACAAAAGCAAAAAGCAUGGGAUGAUCCAUACUUCUCAAAUCAUCAAGAGAAAUCAAAGUCCAACGCUUCCACUUCAAAACUUUGGGAUUGUAUUUUGUGACAACUUGCAAAAACCAUUUAGAAAUACAUAAAUAAUUGUAUAAAUACAAGGUAUUGAUAGCCCAGAAAGCAAAAUUGUUUUCCCAAUGGCAAUACAAAGUCAAUAUUACUUUAGCAUGUGGAUAGCUGUUUCCAAGAAUUUAGUAAGUAUAUACUAAUUGUAUUCUUAUAAGACACUUUGCUAUUGGAAAGAACCAAUGUUUUUACUGUAGUAAAUAUUUGAUUUUUAGACAAUGUUUCUGUGAGGUAAGAAAAAAAAGCUUAAGUAGUAAAUAAAAACCCCACAAUAUUAAUAUAAAUAACUAAAUAUCUUUAUUCAAUUUUCAGUUAAUUACAUGAUAUUUUGCUUUUCAGUGAAUUAAGUCAAAACAAAGGUCUUUCUAAUGAGUAAGUUAUUUUAUCUCUAUUAAAAUAUCAGGAUUAAUUAUGCUUUAUUUUCAUCCUAUAGAAAAUGUAGUUGAUGACAAAGACAUAUGAAUAAUGAACCAGUGCAAUUUGCAGUUUGUUCCUAAUUGAAUCUACUUACACAAUCAACUUUCACUUCUUUCUCCAUUCAUUUAAUACAGUUAUUACUUAUUUGACAAACAUGAUUUGUAAAAUAGGUUUAAUAAUAAUACAUAUAGUGUUGAAUUUUGUGAGGAUCAAAUAGCAAAUAGUCAAUACUCAAUUACGGUUAAUAUUUUAUUACCUCAAUAACUACAUAAUGCAAUUUUAUUUUAUUGGAUCUUGCAAGUUGUUUUUAUUAUUUAAACCACUGGUUUAGCAAUUAUACAUUUGAAUUAAAAUAGUCAAAGCAUUUACAUCUGAGUUUAGAUGUUGACUUUGUUCUACAAAUAUCAGAAACAAAAGAUACGGUGGGAUAUUUGGACCAGAAAAUGUGUGGUAGUACUAUAGGCAAGAAAGUAUUUGACACUUGUCUUGAGAUGACAGGCUACACAGUACUACACUAACUGUAGAAAGUCUUCCACAUUUUCUUUGAUACGUACCAUCUGGGGCAUAUCAAGCUCAUUGACAUGAGAAUGUAUUCUUUCCAAAACACAUCGUUUAAUGUCUUUGUAUAGUUUUUAUAAAUUGCAGAUUUAAAAGUUCCUACAUGGACUGUUACUAUAUCCCACCAUGGUGUUUUCCAUGUGUCUCAGUCAAAUAUACAAAAAUACUGAAUAACAUUGGACAUACCUCACAGUCUUACUACUCUGUUUGAUGAUGGGGAAUAAUUUCUGACAAUGAGUAAUCAAUUCUUACUUCACAAGUUCCAUUAUCACAGAAUAAGCUUAGGAUCUUAAUGAACUACUGGGGCUGAAAAUUGUAUUUAAAGCUGCCAAAUCCAAACCCCCUGACUGUGUUAAUCCAUUAUUUUAGGGUGAAUGAAAAGUGUAUAUCAAUUUAUCUAUAUAUAGUAUGAGGUAUGAGUGUUCACAUAAGCAAGGUCAGGCUAAAAAAGAGAGAGAGGGAGAGAAAUUCAAGGAAAUAGGAGACUGUGUUUUCCUUAACUGUGUUUUUCUUUAAUAGAAAUCUGGCAUAGAAAUUUCCUUAGAGUGAAAUUUGUAUAGAGACAAGCACAUGCAAUGUUCCUAAGGUAUUAAGACAGAGUCAGAAAAAAGAAGGUAUUAGGGGAAUGAUUUGGUGGAUGAUAACCGUAAAUUAGAAAUUAAACUAUAUGUAUAUAAAUUUCUUCUGAUUCUAAUCUAAAUCAUGUAAUUUUACUGUUCACUAGGACUGCUCCCCAGACAUGUGCCCUCUGUUUCUUACUUUUCUCACUCUCUGGGAUGGGAACAGCAACGACAAAUUAUGUCUAAAUGUUCAUGUUAGACAUUUCUUCUGAGCUCAUAAAAGUUUAUCUUGGCAUAUAAUUGUCUCUUUGUAAUAAGACAAUAAAGAUUGCAGUGUUUUGAGGCUGCUAAACAAUGCCCAUCCAGUUGACAGGCUCAGGAAUGAUGGUGAAAUGAUGGACUCGGCUGCUAUAGGUCACACUUUGUAAAUCUGACUGAAGCAGACCUAGAAUACUAAUGAAAGCCAACCACCAUUUCCUUACUUGCUCUCAAUUUGUAAUUCUAGCCCUGGUGGCAUAUAUAUUACAGAAAGAAUAUUGUUUUCUAAUUUAUAGUCAGAAAGUCAUUGGAGCGACUAUGACCCUGUGCUUUAAAUAGACGGUAAGUGUAUUGUCUUAAAAAAAAAAAAAAAA